Non-coding RNA from Pelobates cultripes (western spadefoot toad), 266 nucleotides. The record is from the annotation of a GenBank genome assembly. Lineage: Eukaryota; Metazoa; Chordata; Amphibia; Anura; Pelobatidae.
UGCCAUUAAACUGGCUGAUAACACAUUUUCUUUGCUGUUGUUUUUUUGGGGAACAUGCAAAGUGCAAUUAAAUAAACUUGAUAAAAAAAACAGAAACCGUGAUGUACAGGAUCAAAUGUCAUCUCACUUGUUAUGGGCCAGUGUUAAUAUUGCUGACAGAUACAAACUAUUGUAUGGAUUAAACCAGAGUGAACAUGAUAGAAAUUAAUGACCUUUUCAUCAACAAAUGAAAACUAGACGAAAAUGUUAGGGAGCGAAGAUAUUCU